UCCAGACUCCUACGGGAGGCAGCAGUGGGGAAUAUUGCACAAUGGGGGAAACCCUGAUGCAGCGACGUCGCGUGGGUGAAGAAGCGCCUCGGCGCGUAAAGCCCUGUCAGCAGGGAAGAAAAUGACGGUACCUGAAGAAGAAGCCCCGGCUAACUACGUGCCAGCAGCCGCGGUAAUACGUAGGGGGCAAGCGUUAUCCGGAUUUACUGGGUGUAAAGGGGGCGUAGACGGCAGAUCAAGUCUGGAGUGAAAUCCCGGGGCUCAACCCCGGAGCUGCUCUGGAAACUGAGAAGCUAGAGUACUGGAGAGGCAGGCGGAAUUCCUAGUGUAGCGGUGAAAUGCGUAGAUAUUAGGAGGAACACCAGUGGCGAAGGCGGCCUGCUGGACAGCGACUGACGUUGAGGCUCGAAAGCGUGGGGAGCAAACAGGAUUAGAUACCCCCGUA
RNAcentral lists this ribosomal RNA (445 nucleotides) under uncultured bacterium. RNAcentral describes it as "partial 16S ribosomal RNA". It matches the Rfam family "Bacterial small subunit ribosomal RNA", at positions 330 to 792 of the family's 1533-position model. The record is from RNAcentral.